UCCUCUUCCUGGCCAAUGCUAAUAAAGGGUGGGCUUGGCACGUAAACCAAUCAAAGACCCCCAAAGGGGCGGGUUUUCUUCGGCCUGGAUCCAGCCUUGGGGGGUAAAAAUAAAGUGUUUCCAUUUCCAGCCAAUCCCAGGAAAGGCAGGAGGGCACUCCUCCAAUGGGAACCUGGAGCCGUCGGUAGCGGUGGCGGCCAGCGACCCCGCAAUAGCUCCGGCAGGCGGGAGGGACGCGUCCAGUGCUUUCGCGAGGUCCUGCUGCCGGCCGCUGGAUCCUGGUCGAGCGAGGCAGCGGCGACGCCGACGGUCUGAAGUUCCCGGUCAGCGGGUUGCGGAGGAUCGUGCGGGUAGCAAAGGGAGGGCGAGUGCUCCUGCGGCCCCAGACGGCAACCAGGAUCUAAUUCAGGAUCCCACAUUGUAUUUGUCAUAUCUCCUUAGGCCCUUUCAAUCUGGGACAGUCCUUUUGUCUUUCAUGACUUUGGAAACUUUUGAAGAGUCCUGGCCAGAACACACAUCAUUGUUAGAAUCAUCACCCUGCAGCUAGCUUGGACACCAUUAAAAGGGCUCAUCAACUGCAAACGGAUAGAAGUAUCUGAUAUUCGUGAAGACAGAGUUUCAGGGCUUCUGCCUGGAGCUACACUCUCCAGAAGCCCCUGCUUGGCCUCUCUGCACCCAACCCCACCCCAACCAGUCACAGCUUGGGUCGUGUGUGGUGUUUCUUGGCAACUGGAACACAGACUCCUCCAGCAGCUCCACAGGCCCCUUGUCCUCACUGAGCAGAAGACUACAGAAGCUGGCUACUGAAGAAGCUGUCCAAGUCUUAGAGCUCCUCCUUGGCCCUGCUUAGCACACUUACCACAGAGCAGUAACCGAGUGCUGGCUGUUACUCAUUUGCGCUUACCACCUGCAGGGACUUCAGAGGGAUUUGUCAGACCCCAUUUCACCCUAAGGCCACUCCCUAAGAAUCUCCACAGGAGGCUACCCAUAGAGAGAGGUGGCUUGCCUAGGGUCUCCACUGCCUUAGGUCAUACGUGGACACUUCCAGGGCUAAGGGGAUUAAUAUCUUUUUGCCUACCUGUAACCCACAUAUCCAUUGGAAAAUUCCGCCUCCUGCUAUUUUCUGUUCUUUUAUUUGUUUUUUGGUAGGAAGAGUUUUAACUACUGCUUCAGUUCCUUUAAUAGUUGGAGGAUUAUUCAGGAUUUCUUUUUCUUCUUGCGUUAAUUUUGGUAAGUUAUAGUUUUCUAGGAAUUGGUCCAUUUUGUCUGUGUUCUCAAACUUGGCAUAAAGUUUCCUUGUUUUUUUGUUCUCUGUUCUAUCUGUAGUUAUGUCUCCUUUUUCAUUGCUGAUAUUGGU
Molecule: long non-coding RNA, 1357 nt
Organism: Phacochoerus africanus (Common warthog)
Lineage: Eukaryota; Metazoa; Chordata; Mammalia; Artiodactyla; Suidae
Exons: 4
Source: RefSeq, a predicted model, not a curated record